RNAcentral lists this transfer RNA (68 nucleotides) under Chorosoma macilentum. RNAcentral's name for it is "tRNA-Leu". It matches the Rfam family "tRNA". From Rfam's summary of the family: Transfer RNA (tRNA) molecules are approximately 80 nucleotides in length. The record is from RNAcentral. RNAcentral also lists the same sequence under 1 other name. Lineage: Eukaryota; Metazoa; Arthropoda; Insecta; Hemiptera; Rhopalidae.
ACUACUUUGGCAGAAGUUAAGUGCAAUAAAUUUAGAAUUUAUUUAUGUAAUUUUAAUUACAGGUAGUA